This 1403-nucleotide ribosomal RNA is filed under the name Francisella noatunensis. Its description in RNAcentral is "16S ribosomal RNA". It matches the Rfam family "Bacterial small subunit ribosomal RNA". The record is from RNAcentral. Lineage: Bacteria; Pseudomonadati; Pseudomonadota; Gammaproteobacteria; Thiotrichales; Francisellaceae.
GCCCAUCUGUGGGGGAUACCAGUUGGAAACGACUGUUAAUACCGCAUAAUAUCUGCGGAUUAAAGGUGGCCUUUGUGCUGCCGCAGAUGGAUGAGCCUGCGUUGGAUUAGCUAGUUGGUAGGGUAAGGGCCUACCAAGGCUACGAUCCAUAGCUGAUUUGAGAGGAUGAUCAGCCACAUUGGGACUGAGACACGGCCCAAACUCCUACGGGAGGCAGCAGUGGGGAAUAUUGGACAAUGGGGGAAACCCUGAUCCAGCAAUGCCAUGUGUGUGAAGAAGGCUCUAGGGUUGUAAAGCACUUUAGUUGGGGAGGAAAGCCUAUAAGUUAAUAGCUUGUAGGAAGGACGUUACCCAAAGAAUAAGGACCGGCUAACUCCGUGCCAGCAGCCGCGGUAAUACGGGGGGUCCGAGCGUUAAUCGGAAUUACUGGGCGUAAAGGGUCUGUAGGUGGUUUGUUAAGUCAGAUGUGAAAGCCCAGGGCUCAACCUUGGAACUGCAUUUGAUACUGGCAAACUAGAGUAUGGUAGAGGAAUGGGGAAUUUCUGGUGUAGCGGUGAAAUGCGUAGAGAUCAGAAGGAACACCAAUGGCGAAGGCAACAUUCUGGAUCAAUACUGACACUGAGGGACGAAAGCGUGGGGAUCAAACAGGAUUAGAUACCCUGGUAGUCCACGCUGUAAACGAUGAGUACUAGCUGUUGGAUUCGGUGUAAAGGAUCUAGUGGCGCAGCUAACGCGUUAAGUACUCCGCCUGGGGACUACGGCCGCAAGGCUAAAACUCAAAGGAAUUGACGGGGACCCGCACAAGCGGUGGAGCAUGUGGUUUAAUUCGAUGCAACGCGAAGAACCUUACCUGGUCUUGACAUCCUGCGAACUUUCUAGAGAUAGAUUGGUGCCUUCGGGAACGCAGUGACAGGUGCUGCACGGCUGUCGUCAGCUCGUGUUGUGAAAUGUUGGGUUAAGUCCCGCAACGAGCGCAACCCCUAUUGAUAGUUACCAUCAUUAAGUUGGGUACUCUAUUGAGACUGCCGCUGACAAGGCGGAGGAAGGUGGGGACGACGUCAAGUCAUCAUGGCCCUUACGACCAGGGCUACACACGUGCUACAAUGGGUAUUACAGAGGGCUGCGAAGGUGCGAGCUGGAGCGAAACUCAGAAAGGUACUCUUAGUCCGGAUUGCAGUCUGCAACUCGACUGCAUGAAGUCGGAAUCGCUAGUAAUCGCAGGUCAGAAUACUGCGGUGAAUACGUUCCCGGGUCUUGUACACACCGCCCGUCACACCAUGGGAGUGGGUUGCUCCAGAAGUAGAUAGUUUAACGAAUGGGCGUUUACCACGGAGUGAUUCAUGACUGGGGUGAAGUCGUAACAAGGUAGCCGUAGGGGAACCUGCGGCUGGAUCACCUCCUUA